GCGCCGGUGGUGUAAGGCGAACAUCGCUGCCCGGAAAGCAGAAGAUGCGGGUUUGAGUCCCGCCUGGCGCA
Molecule: non-coding RNA, 71 nt
Organism: Heligmosomoides polygyrus
Lineage: Eukaryota; Metazoa; Nematoda; Chromadorea; Rhabditida; Heligmosomidae
Source: Rfam